Orussus abietinus is the source of this 779-nucleotide long non-coding RNA. RefSeq lists it as uncharacterized. The record is from RefSeq and is a predicted model, not a curated record. Lineage: Eukaryota; Metazoa; Arthropoda; Insecta; Hymenoptera; Orussidae. The transcript has 3 exons.
GCUUAUGUCGCGACAGUUUUGAUACUCUCCUUUCUCUGUAACCGUCGGUCAUCUUUGUUUACACUUGACGGGUCACCGUGUAAGCUAACUUAUUUCGCAGUGUAUAUCGAUGUUCGGGCGCGACAGGAUCAAUUACCUCCUCGAGUUGCUUUGAGAUCAAGCCGAGACGUUAAUCGACGUUCGAGCGUAGGUUACGGUCGUCUCCAAGUAACCUUUAAUUACAACCUACUAACCUUGCGAGACAUGCCACUUUCGCUUACGUCUUCUCUAAGCGAGUUUACCUAGUUCAGAUUAUCGAUUAUUGUUCUAUCUACGUAUCUCAAAGACGAAGUGAAAUCGCCCGUGGUCAAACUCAAGCUCGAAAUUCGCAUUCACCCGCUCGGUCUUGAAUAGAGUCUUUAAUGAGUUAUAUUACUCGGAAAACAGUUCUGCCUUGGAGUUUAAGUACCUGCGGACUGGGUGUUUCCUUCAUCUUCUACCCUGUGAAAAAUGUCUCGUUGGCGCGGUCAUGUUCUACUCUCGAAGAUCUCGGAGGUCGAAGGGGAAUCACCAGUUCGUAAAACGACAUUGGAGGCCUCAGCCAUGGUUUCUCCAAUUACGAGCAUCGUUCGCGAUCUCAGCAAGUCCACAUUGUUUUCGGAAGAUUCUCCGAAACGAGGGCGGAUGCAGUUUGAAUCCGAUGCAAUCAUUGCGAAGCUAGGUAAGUUCUUAUAUGGAAUAUGAAAUUGUUUUACAGCGCGUUAAAAAAUCCAUAUCGAUGUUACAUGACAGAUGUAGCA